Molecule: non-coding RNA, 73 nt
Organism: Stegodyphus mimosarum
Lineage: Eukaryota; Metazoa; Arthropoda; Arachnida; Araneae; Eresidae
Source: Rfam
GCCUUCGUGGUGUAGUGGUAAGCACGCUAGGCGCGUAUUCGAGAGGUCCGUGGUUCGAGUCCCGGCAAGGGCA